AGUAAUGCCUUUGUAUUCAGUUACAAAACGUUGAGCACACCGGAUCGAAUAUGUUUUGGGAUCUAAUCGGUGGAAUUUUCGAGUUCAUUUUCGGACUCUUGUUUCCCAGUUCCGGCAGUGGAGACGAACCAGAUUCUGAGGAGGUGGAAACCACUUGAUGGCCUAAAAUAAUAUCAUUUUUAUACCCUUUUUAAUUGCAAAAGUUCCAUGUUUUCGCUUUAUUAAAUCUACGUAAAGUAUGUAUAUUUAACAUAAAUUGCUUAAUCAGCUACUA
Non-coding RNA from Drosophila suzukii, 274 nucleotides. The record is from RefSeq and is a predicted model, not a curated record. Lineage: Eukaryota; Metazoa; Arthropoda; Insecta; Diptera; Drosophilidae.